This 13272-nucleotide long non-coding RNA is filed under the name Solanum lycopersicum (tomato). RNAcentral's name for it is "long non-coding RNA (SLYC_LNC000861)". Lineage: Eukaryota; Viridiplantae; Streptophyta; Magnoliopsida; Solanales; Solanaceae. The record is from RNAcentral.
CUUCUGUAGAUCAAGAAUUUGGUAACAAUACUAUUAAUAUUAUGAAGAAACAAAGAGAUCAUGAGUUGUCUUUAGACCUUAACAAUAUUCCAAUUCAAGAUGAUCAUCCUGUUGUAUCCUUAAAGCAACAAGAUCAAGAACAAACACAAAGGCAACUUGUUGAUUGUAAUUAUUGACAAUAAUGCAGGUACAUUUUUUUAAUUUUUUUUUUCUUACUUUUUAACCAUACAAUUAUAUGAGUAAAUAUUUUUCUCAUUGUUAUGAUAUACAAAUUCUUUAAUAUUAAUUCAGUGGAUAAUAUAGUAAAAACCACUUAGUAUUUGAUUCAUUUAAAUUCUCAUAGUACUUGAGUUUGCCACAUGAAUCAACAUUAAUAUAUAUGCCGAUGGUCUAUCAAAAUUAUUAUCUCUAUCCCAUAAAGAUAGAGAUAAAGUCUGCAUAUCUUGUUCUUUUCACACUUAUAAAAUUACACUGACUACAUUAUUAUUGUUAAUUAACAUGCAUACAUACCCUUUUGAGGAUUUACAGUCCACUUUAUGACUUAAUUUCUCUCUGUUUCCUUCACCAACGUGAAUAACGAUAAUAGCUUUAGAAUACUUAACUAGCAUGUUGGCCUUUUAAUCAUGUUAGGUCUUUUGGAUUGUACAUCACCUUUUUGUUACUCCCAUUGUUACAUUUUAUGUGAAAAUAUUUGAUUGAAUAUGAAUACGUGUGACAUGCAAGUCACAUACACACUAUAACGUACCAAUAUUCUUUUACAUAAAUAUAUAGAUUAGAAUUUCACGUGUCUUUUCAUUUUAGAAGAGUGGCGAUGAAGUUUUAACAAGUCAUGUUAGACCAGUCAACUUGUGCGUACCUUAAUUAUUCUACCAGAUACCAACAACUACCUCCCGCUAGCAGAAAUAUCAAGUAUUAAGCUUACCAUGUAUUUCUACAAGAAGUUGUUUACACAACUCGAACCAUAACCUCUAAUCACAAGACACCAACUUUAUCAAUUACACCAAACAUUCUUUUUAGUUUAAUUUGCUUCCUUGAUUCAAAACAUUGGACCAAGAAAUUAGUGAAAAUGCAUGCAUAUUAUAUUCCAAGUGGAGAUAUGCUUGUGGAAGACAAGUAACUAGCAUGAAAGAAAUAAUUUAGGUUUGUGUGUUGCACGUAAGGGAAGUUGUUGCAAGAGACAGGCAAAGUUUAGUGAAAAUGCAUGCAUAUUAUAUUCCAAGUGGAGAUAUGCUUGUGGAAGACAAGUAACUAGCAUGAAAGAAAUAAUUUAGGUUUGUGUGUUGCACGUAAGGGAAGUUGUUGCAAGAGACAGGCAAAGUUCAGUUCAUGUCCUAAACUUAUCCCCCUUUUAUCAUAUUCCACUUCUACCAACACCAUAUCUACACAAUCUUUUUUAUUCUCUCAUUAAUUUGAUAACACAUACAAUAAUCACACAGUUCGAUAUGGUAUUAAAACAAAUAAAGAUACUAGAUUCACGUCUCACCAUCAUCAUUGGAAAAAAAAUGUUUUGUCUAAGAAAAAAUUAUUAGACCUGAAUAUAUUAUCAUCUACUAGAUACUAUUCUUCCAUACCCUUAUAAUGUUCUCCAAGUCACUAUUUAUUCUCUUUGAGGAUUCGUUAUAAAGAAGCAAAAUAAGGCAAAAACCAACAUGAAAAUCUGACAAGUUGACUCUUAAAAUUUGAUAGUACAAAAUAAGAACAUAAACAACUAGAGUAACAAAUAUUUGAAUUUAAGACGCUUAUUACAAGAUAAUAAAACAUAAAUAAUCUUUCAGGCAACUUCCCUGUUGAAUAAACAGAGAACUGGGAUUAUUUUAUUUAUUGAUUAUCCAGGGCCAUUUUUCUAAAACUGAACAUAACAAGUUACAGUUCAUGUACCUUGUGUAAUGUUGCUGAACUAUGAAAGUGAUAACUCACGGAUCCUGCCAUCCAGGUUUCCCUUUUAAUGAGCAAACGGACUUUUAUCGAGAUUCAACAAACACAGAAGUUGUUCGGGCUGGCACGUUAAAGCAACCCGAGGUUGCAUCAUAUGUUGAGUUCUUAAUAAUGUCAGUUGAGUUCAUCUGGAGAUGCAAAAGUGAACAAUGAACAUCAUAUAAGUAGCUAGUCAUGCAUGAAGAUGCGAUUGUAUUUAUACUUCUAUUGUGAAACAAAUAGUAAGACACUUUCUAUAAACUCCGAAGAGGCUUGUAACAUGUGUUUACGGAAGCACAUUAACCAGUCUGGCAUAUUCAGAUAUAUAAAAAACAAAUAAAUACCUGUACUGGAUGCAAUUGAAGAGAUUUUGCUCUUAGUGCAAGAUUGGCAAAUGAGACAUCGGUCGGGCAAGGAUUAAUGAUGACAACUAUAUAGGAAUAACUGGUAAAAUGAGAAAAAAAAUCGUCAUUCAAUUAAUGGUUCAGGUAUAUAUCAACAGAAAAAAGCAGCAGCACGGAAGCCUAAAGAUGGAUUAAAUUUACCCACAUUGGAUCCAAUUGAGAGAGCCCUGGAAUUCCCUGGUGGCCAUCUUCAAUGCUCAUUACUAUAAGUCCAGGAAUCCAUGAAGGACCAGUAUUAUGAAAUCGUACUCUUUCCUGGUGAAAGAUGUCAAUUUGUGACGUUGACACACAGAAGUACGUAAUUGCACAAUACUGAAGAAACAACAUACCCAGUGUAAUCUCACAAAUGAGGGUCUGGGGAGGGUGGUGUAGGCAGCCUUACCCCUACCUUGUGAAGAUAGAGAGGCUGUUUUGGAUAGACCCUCGGCACAAUACUGGAGAAAAAGUAGUCAAUAUUUUCAUUAGACUUCAUCGAUAUGUAUUUAAAUUCUAACCUGGAUAGCAUUGGCCGUCUUUAGCCGGAAGAGUGGUGAGGAGUAUCGUAUUUGCAUUAGAUUCAAAAAGUUUUCAACAGCUGCAAGGAUAUGACUCUUCUGAGGCUUGUAGGAUGGAUCUGCUAGUCUUGGUUUGAUUCUGAAAAUAAAAAAUUCAAAGAUGGAAGUACUUUUAGACGGGUUACAAAUAGGAAAACCAUCUUGAUUGUAUGUAUCAGAACUUCACCAAAGAACACAUGAACCUCACCCCACCCAACCACCCCACUGCCCCAAAGAGAAAAGUUCCAACUCUCUUUUUCUCAUGGAGGAAAUAUAAAGGUAAAGGGUAGUAAUGAAAUCACUAACAGUGGCCAGUUUCUUUCAUUCUUCUCUUUCGGAGGGAGGCCAACACCCCAGUUGUUAGAGUUGUAGCUAAAGUCCAGCCUGAAAAUAACAGUAUACAGACAUCCACUUUAUAAAGGAAAGCAUUAACUAGAACUAAAAGAAGAACAGUAAGAUUUAGGACCAGAAAAGACGUCAUUAAGUAAAGCAGAAAAUAAACAGUAAAAAGCAAGUCAUCUAAGAUUUUAAAUUAUCAACAGUCACUGAAGAAAGUAACUUGCAAAGGGAGAGGUGGUGGACCUGUUGAACCAAUCACCAGAGUUGUAAGAGUCACGAUCUAUCGAUUUUGAGCGCAACAUUUCAUCUCCAGCGUGGAAAAAUGGUAUUCCCUGUGAAAGGUUAGCAAGAUCAGUUCUGCAAGAUGAAGAAAACUCACAAUCAAACUCACUUAAAACUUAGCACGAUUAGUAUGUGUUUUACUUAAAUUAUCAUGCAAAUUAAAAUUACUACAUUGAGUUUGAUCUGUGUAGUUACCCUAUCAUCAACCAUAAACAUCAUACCUGUGUAUCUUUCUAUAGAAAAUUGAAAGAGGACUCAAAAGCAAUAAAACUUCAUUUCUUUUUUCUUUUUUGUGGAAACCUAUAACAUUCUCUUUCCGAGGCUCAUCACAAGGCAAAACAAAUAGAAUCUACAGCUUAGGGGUUACAGCAACACUAUAUAUGCCAUAAAGAUAAUAUCAUUAGCUAUCAUAUUCCUAACAACUGAUCAAGCAGAACAGGCAGUUUUGAUUCUAGCCUACUUGUGGUCCAGUUUCAUGUAAAAGAUUGGACCACAUUAUGCGUUCAAGUUUAUUACCACUAAUGGCACAAUCCCUAACUAAUAAAAACAGCUAUAUGAACCCUCUAUAUCCAUUUAGCUCCAUUUGGAUCCUUUCCGUUACAAUGCUCAAUAAUUUGUAUUUAAUACAGUUUAGGUUCUUUUACACCAGAGAUCCUCGAUCACAGUAGCGUCCUUGCGCUGGCAUGCAUAUCUCUAAAUAAAUUAAAAAAAAGAUCCUGCUCAACACCAGACUUAGUGCAAGUGUACCAAUACAACUUAGACUUUAAUUCCAACUAAUUGACAUCUUUAUUUGGAUCUAUUAAUUUCCAUUAUGUUCAAUUCUUCGUAAUUUUGUACAGAUUUCUAGAGAUUGAAGAUGUUAUGGUACAACUUCCAUUCUCUGUGAUUUUAGAUCUACCUAAUUCUCUUUAACGCUUUCAAUUGUUAUAAUGCCACACUAAUAGACUAGUGCAUUUGAAGGUUUACCUGGGAAAUUACCAAACCAUCUCAGGUGACCAUGUCUCGUCAUAUCCUCUAUUUGUGCUACUUGUAUAUUCUGUCAAAUGUGAUCAUUUUUAAUUUUAUAUAACGGUAGUUCAUUCUUAUUAUAGGUAAAAAUAUUAGUUAUAUGUAUUUCUACGACACUAAUUGUGUGGAUAUGUAAGGCCUCGGAGGCCCAACACUCACCCAUAUAAUCUUGUUAGUCUCAAACUGUUCUAUAGAACUUUGUCUUUUUUACUUCAGUAAGUAUCUUCCUAUCAACAUGACCCAAAAGUAAACGUAGAACAAAGAAGCUUUAACAAGAUUUUACUUGCAACAGUAUACCUGUAAAUAUACAUUAACAUACAGAAAGUAGGUAAAAAUUAAAGUAGGUACAUUAUUCUUCGAAGGAACAAACUGAAUCUGACCUGAGAAAGGGCUAUUACACUGGUCGCUAAGUGGUUCAUCCUGCAUCUCUCCUCCACAGAAAUGUCCUUUGGAGUCUAUCAAAGUGAAGCAACUAAUUGAUACAGGAAAAGAAACAAUGGAUGUAUAGGUUGCAUACUUGCAUAUUACCUACCAAGUUUCACACCGUGUGCCUUUGGUCUUCUAGUAUUUCUUGGUUAUCAAAAAAGAAAAAAAGAGGGCAUAUUGCAAGAGAAAAAAUUACCUUAAGACUAAUGAUGUCGAACAGUGUCUCAUUGUCAUGAGCAGACACGUAGUUAACCUGCAUAUAACAAAAGCAAUUACAUUGUUUUGGAAUGUAUUUCCAUGGAGAAUUAACUGGGAAAGAUGUCUGACAAGAUUGGGAUAGCGUUAACGAUGCAGUAGAUAUAGCUCUCACUGAAAUGAAGUUGUUCAAUCAUAAAUAACAAUAGACACAUAGUUCCUUACUGUUUCAACGGGAGAAGAAGCAUAUCCAACUGGCUUCCUGUCAUGCAUGAGUACUUCAGAUCCUUUAACCUGGGUAAGAAGAGUAUACAGUACUCAACAUAUCUCCAGUGUCGAGUUAUGUUUGUACAUUCUAAAAGAUAAACUUUCAGUUCAGCUUGAAAUGUGGUCCUCUGUGAAACUUGCCUUAGGCAAAUCCGACUUCAGAAAGGGAGGCCUGUGAGGGUGAGUUUAAGGCGGUCUUAAUCUAAAUGCAUCUAUUGAAUAUUUCACUUGAGAACAAUUUGCAGCUGGUAGUAUUUUUCAUUAGUUUCUACUUCUAAGACUGAAGUUUUAUUUCAAAAGACGAUUCAUGCAAAUGCAUUCCACGUGGAUUUCUGGUCGGAUCGACCCUUAGUUAGACCAAAAUGAUUAUCUUUUUGGGGCAUUGGAAGUAGUUAAUACAUGCAUUUAUUUAGCUGGGCAAACUUAACACACUUUAUGGUAAAGUUGUCAUUGACAUAAUUAGUUCAUGACCUUUGCAGUCAAAUGUAGAAUGAAGGCUGGGAAAAAUGCAUCUGGGACAUGGAAAAAAAACUCUAUGCCCCUGCCUGUCGACAUAAACCAAAAAGCACGCAGCUUUGACAGAACUACAAAUAUAACACUUGGUAUGACACACCAUUCACAAACAAACCAAAACAGUUCUAAUUUGUUUUUGCAGUAUCAAAAGCAUGUGAUAAAAAGGAUAGCAGAUCAAGCUAAUAAGAUGAAAAAUAUGAUUAAAUUGGUCAACAAUAUUAGAUUUUGAUAAAUUGGACCAAACCUACUUAUUUAAUAGUAAGCCCUAAUACAUCAUAAAAGUUUUGUUUGGCUUAUUGGCUAAUAAACCUAUCAAAGAAACAAUAGGUACAAGAGUAUCGACUUUCUUAAUUGCCUUGGUGAUUAGAAAUGAAUAGUAAUAAUUAUCUUAUAACUUCAAUCGCAAUGAUCAUCAGAAAUGAACAGUAAUAAUUAUCUUAUAACUUCAAUUGUAAUGAGUUGCAAUGUCAUUGUGAUGUGAACAUGACGCAAAGCAAAUAGCAGUCGAAUCUAUGGAUACCUCUUGACCAUCACAGUUCGUUAGCACAAAAUCCUUUAAGUUUGCAGCCAUGCCAACCUGAAAAGUAAACAUGCUCUUUGAUAAGAAAGAAUAACUUAAGAAAUAUUUAUGUCAUGCAACUGGAGUAGGGCAGAGUACCUGAAUGUGAUCCUUCGACACAGUAAGCAUACGUUCUACAUUGGCUUUAUCACCAAGAUCAUGACCGUUAGGCUGAAGAGCAGCAUGUACAAGUUACUGAGACUGUGAUUAUUCAUAUUUUUAGAAAAAUGGCAGGAAUUUAUCACAAACUUUAUAUUUCCAAGUGCCGAAGAGUUUUAUCAUUACCUCCGAAUAAAGGCCAGUUACAAAACCUUGAUGUAGAGGAUGACCAAAAGGUGAUCCGCCCAGUAAAGCAUCCCGAAUACGAUCAUUGAAGCUAGUAACGAAUCAAGAACAGAUAGUGAGGAAAAUACUUUAAGAUAGCUUCAAGAGAUGAAUAGAAUAGGGACAAGGAAAUAUUCCCGUUUAAGCCUAUGAGCUCUUGAAAGCAUUAUCCCACAGUAGCUGGAAUUAUGUCAUCUUCUUUAUUGUUAAAGCUUCAAUUUGCAAUUUAUUAUUGGCUCAUAAGAAGAGUAAUUUACAUGCAGACAUACAAGGAAUAGGAAAUCAUCUUCGUUUGACAAACAAAUCGAAAUAACUCAGAAGUAGCACCUCCCAAUUCCAGCUCCAAAAAGGUUAAAUUGUGAUGCAUUUAUCCCACGUCCAUUCUUUGCCACUUCACCAAAAUCCCAUCCUUCACCAUAUCUGAAUUGAAAAUAGCAUUAAGAAUCAACUGAUAAAAAGGAAACAGAGAAUCAAUGUAAUAUUCAAGAAGAACUAAAAGUACCUAUAUUAUCAUGGGCACAAAAGAUGUAAUAAGGAUAUCUUUUUUAAGAUUUAAAAGCCUACAAAAGACUACUAUAAAACAUACAUAUCUAGUAAUAAGGAUUGAUCGUCAAUGGUAACAGUCCUUACAUAUAAAUGCUUGAUCCAUCCACACCAUUUUCUUCUGUUGACAAGCUAUUCAGAAAUGACUUUGCCUUCAACUACAUCCAAAGACACGGCGAUCAUAGAGUUAGCACACUUAGCUUUGAGCACCAAUAAUUUUUAAAGAACCAAUUAAUCAAGAAUUUGAACACACAAGGAACAUAAUUAACUAUCAUCUUAUUUAUAGCUAUACUAACUACUGAAAUGCACAAAUAAGUGUUGUCCUACUCAGACGAUUGGCAGCAAGUAGACAUGCCUACAACCUGAGUAAUCAUGUUAGCCUGUGCAUGUCAACAUUGUUAUGUGACAUCAUAAUUUUCGUAUAAAGAUGUCAAUUGGAUAUGGGUUAAUCAUAAAACUGCAUAAAGUAAAACAAUUUAAAUAAAAAAUCAAACCAUAAACAAGUAAAAAAGAAAAUCCUCUUUUAGAUUUCAAGAAAACAGACUCUUUAAUUCCUGUCUAAGAUUAAACCCAAUACACUCAGGUCGUUUUACUUAUGUUAGACAAGGUCACUGCAAAACAAUAAUCUCCCGCCUAUAAAACCACAGAUCACCUGAAAGAUGCAAGCAGUGACCUAGAAAAUUACUUACAACAUAAAUUAUUUAACAUCAACAUCAACAACGACAACAUACUCAUUGUAAUCCCACAAGUGUGUAUGUAUAUGUAUAUAUAUAUAUAUAUUACUACCUAUAUUAUCCAUGUCCUUAAUAUAAAAUUUUAAUGCAUUUUCAUUGGACCCACAGUUACUCUUUGAAACACAAUCUUUCCUCUAUGCUAUUCUUCAAAAACAUCAAGGUUUAUAUACGGCCAACGUGUGCUGAAGCAAAUAUGCCAGGACCCAUCAUUUUAAUGUUUUCUAUCUCCAUGUCAAGUCAGAUGGGCCUAUCAAAUUGGGACAGAAGGAGUAAUUAGAACUGGGACUCAAAUAUUAGGUCCCCAGGGGAUAAUAAUCUCUCUGCUUAAUUUAUCUUGAUCUUUUUCUCCAUGAGCUUUAUGCUAACAAGAGAUAUCCCAAUUCUGAGAGGAAGAUCCACUGGUAACUACUAGCACCGUAUGAUACUUGCAACAGCCUAAAAUAUAGAGAACUGGCUUCUCAACUUUUUAGCCUUCACUUAUCUUUCCAUCUCAUGCAUAUAACUUGUACCAAAAACCACAGGAAGCGUUAUCUUGUAAAAUUUCAUCUACAACUGGAAAAACUAAUAAGAAAUAAUUACUGCGUAGCAUUCUGCCUUCCUAAACGAACGAAUGGAGAAAACUUUCUCUAACCCACAAAAGGAAAAGCUUUAAAUACUUACCAUUGUACGCUUCAUUAUGUGACCCAUCAGGUCAAACCGAAAUCCAUCAAUCUGCAGAAGACAAACAAGGUUUACUCAUAUAUUCUCUUUCGGAGAAGAAUAGGAAUUCUUACUCAAGGACAAAAGCAUCGGUGUGUACACACAUACAGAACUCAAAAUGGAAUAUGUGACAUCAAUUAUGUGAAUUAAGUAAGAUAAAGUUAACUAACUUUAUUAGUUAUGAGUUGGUUUGGCAUAUAAUAGAGUAAACAUUAACUUCUGUAUUUCUUGAGAAAAUCACUUAGUAACUGUUUUAGGCAUUUGCCAUGUUCAGUCAUCAACAUCAAGAACACAAAGCAUGGUUUCGGUGCGAUAUUUGAGAAAUACAAACUGUUUAUGGAACCAUUAAAUCAAUGAACUGCCCCAUCUAAAAGAUCAAACUGUUAGAGAGGAGACACAUCUAUUGAUUUACUUAGGUCUUCCACAUGUCCGCGUGAAAUAGUUUAUUGUUAGGUAGCGUUAAGACUUGAACUCAAGACCUUCGAGGCUCUUUCCACUCUGAUGCCAUUUUGAAAAGUUUAAACUGUUAGAUGGAGACACUUUUUAUUUGUUUAGGUCUUCAACAGAGCCUUUGGGAGGUAUACCUGUUGUUUCUGAUAGUUUAAACAAUUAAAGUGGAAAUGACACAAAAAGUUGCUUAACAGGCAGUUACGUCCACCACCAGAAAAUCAAGGAACUAUUAUACCAUUUAGCACUAGCAAGUAUUUUCUUGUGCUAAUUAAUGACUAGAUAUGAUAUAUUAGUCAAUCAAUUAUCAGAAGCCCAUUUCAUUUCACAGAAAAAUAUAUCAUUUUAAGAGCCUCCUGUCGUACGUGAACUCAUAGGUAGCAUAAAAGGCAUCAGUUUCUACUGGGAUUAUGGUUCCACGGUUUCUGAAUUUAAUUCCAUUUCAAGUACUUUUGCAUGCUCGAGAUUAGUAACUAAAGUCACAUGUCAGACAUUCUCUAAGUUGAGUUACCAGGUUUGGAGACUCGGUCCGUCAGUCGUGACAUCUAUACAGUAUAAUAUUGCAAUGCUGGACUUUAAAACUAAAGCUUCUCAUCAUUAUAAACUCCUAUAGAAACAAAUCUGAAGGUGCUCCUAUUUCUCAUGCUUAAAAUGGCGAAGAAGUUCAGAGUUUUUAACAUUACAGUUGGAUUACGAUAUUCAAUGCAAGAGUUCCUAGCUUUGGACUUCCCACAAAUAAAAUUGAUCUGGAGCUUACAGAGGUAUCAUUUGCUGGAAGACAAGCAGUCUAACUUAUGGUAUAGCAAUCCACAUUCAUAUCCCGUCUGAUCUUUUAAUUUCAAAAGGUCUUGAUAACAAUUACAUUUGACAAUCUCCUUUAUCUUUAAAAAGCCAAUCUCGAAAGGUAACAUAACAAUUAUGGGUCUUAUAAAAAUUAAAAUACUAAAACAGCAAAGUAGAGGUUAUUAAUAAACUACAUACAUUCACAGUCCCUAAAAUAUGACUACGCAGGCCAUAGCUUUAAACAGAAUAUUCAGCCAAACAAAACAAGAAGAAACCAUAAAACAGAAGAAAAGAAUUUAGGCUCUACAAUUACCAUAUCUUAGCAAUUGCGUUCGAGGGUGGAGGGAAGCAUACCUUAUAAUGGACUGCCCAGCACUUGAGGUCGUCAAGAAUUAAGCGUUCAACCAUGAAAUGCUCACUGGCGGUAUUGUUUACGCAUGUGCUGUUUUCAAUGCCACCAUCAGCAUUUCUCCUUAGAAAGUAACCUGGAACGAUCUAUUGAAAGCAAACCCAAUACAAAAUAUGUAUAAGGAGACCAAGUUAAUUAUAAGGCUAUAACCAUAAAGUUUAACGAGGUGGAACACAAUAAUUCGUCACCUUGUCUAGAACAGAGAAGUCACUAAAUGGACCGCUUGCAUGUAAAUGAUUGUAAACAACAUCCAAUACAACACGUAGACCAAUACGAUUAAGUGCCUGUAAACCAAUUAAGCCUUAGAGUGGCGCCAAGGGAAUUGAACAAUAUAGGUCGAUGGUCUAUUCAGUAUAAACAGAAAGGUUGAUGGUAUAUUUAGUAUAAACAUAAGAAUGCACAACAAAGUUGGAUCUUUAGAUAAAAUAAGAUCUACCUGCACCAUUUUCCGAAACUCGACGAUACGACAAGGACCAUUUGCAUUACUUGCGUAGCUUCCUUUUGGAACUCCCCAGAGAACAGGAUUAUACCUUUUCUUAGGCAGCCAACAAUUCAAUUUUCACACACUGGCCAGGAAACUACAAUCAGCUUAGACACAAGUUGAAACUCUAAGCACAGUAUCUCACCCCCAAUUAUAGCCAUCUUCAUCUUGGAUGGCUGUGAUAAGAGCUUGCUGCUCCUCAGAAUCUGGUGGAAAAGAGUUGAGUUUCUCGAUAUCUGAUAAAUACAUCACAUGAGAGACCAGGAAACAAAAAUGAAUGAGAUGAGAUUCCAAGGGAAAACCCAAAAAGGCAAUUAACAACCUCAUCAUAAAAUCUAGAACAGACAUGGCACUAAACUAAUCUGAAUAUUUCUAUCUUUAGCUAAUUAUCCACUCUGUCAUGGUAUCAUGUGACAAAACAGCAGAUCUGGUUUGAGAGAAUUAAGUCCCUCGUUUUGGUCUUUUAUUGCGUUAUUUUCAAAUUACCAACUUCAGCUUCAUUUAUAAUUUGUGCUGAAAAGAAAGGAGAACAAAAGAAAUACUAAAAUCUUUAAUGGGGAACCCCCUCUCCAAACUGAAAAAAAGUUGAAGAGCUUUACCUGUAUACUUCCAUUUAUGUUUCUCAUCUUCGACACCAGCAAACUGAUAGGUUGGCAGCAGAUGGACAUGAGUGAUACCAGCAUUUGAUAAUCUUUUCAAAUGUUGGACACCAGCUGAGUCCUUCAAGAAUAAUGAGAUCAGGGACACAUGCUUAUGGGACAUAUCCAAUGCCACCUAACUUAUGUGCGACAAAACCUUCUAAUGCAUUGUGCCAUUGUGUUAACUGUGGGUGCUGGCUUAGAUGUUUCCAUUAACCAUUAUUUAAAAGCUUGUAUAACUAACACAAAAUCAGAUAGCUAAUACAGCACUUAAAACCUGGUCGUGGAUACUCUCUAACAACAUGGAAUAAAAAAGUGCUGCUAUAAAGCAUAAAGCACAAAUAAAUGAACAGAAUGAAGGAGUGACACUUGUUUGACUUGCAAACUGAUGCCAGACUAGUUGUCAAAAUUCAAAAAAAUGCACCAAUCGGCUACCAAAUUGGGCCGAACUUUUGUGAUGAGCUAGGUAACGAAGCCUAAAAUGAGACACUUAUAUGUUCUGUUGGUUUAAAGAACUCCCCAAGUUUUAUUUCCUAAAAGGUGUUGACAACAACUUAUAAGACCAAGCCCAGGUUGCAAGGUUCAGAUUCUUCGGGUUUCGCCUUAGAUUUAGUUGUCUCUGGUGGAGGAGUAACCUUUGUUGUAAUUCUUGCUAGAACUUGGUAACAUUACCAUUAAUGGCUUAUCACAAAUAGUACAUUAGACAGUAAUAGUUCUGAAUACUUCUUACUGAUAACUUCAUAAUAAUAUUAGGGAACCCCGAUCACUAAGACCUUCUGGCUCAAUACAAGAAUGAGGAAGCUAAUAUGUCCCGUGAAAGUGAGGACUUAAUCAUUUCUCAUGGAAAUUCGACAGGGAAGUUAUUAACAAGAAUGAGAGAAUUCGUUUCUUUUGGAGAAGUGUAUCUCUAUGUGUGGACGCGCUUCUGCGCAUGUGUGUGCGUCCUCACUACAAAUCUCAAAUACACCAUGAGAUCGGUGUACCAAUCUAAAUCACCAUUCCUCUCCAACCACCGUCCAUCAUUGGUUGCACCACCCAUCACACACUACAAAGUUAUCGGGUAGACUACUAUAGCAGUCUUUUUCCAGCCACUUCAAAUUGUAUGUUCUGCCAUAAACACACUUAGUAUACCAAUGAGUUGUAGUCCAGUGUAAGUUUACCAUCUACAAAGCUCAAAUCUCAGUAGGAUACGAAGCAAAUGAAGACAUGAAAUACCUUGCUCAAUACACCUAUUUACUAAAAGCUUGAACUCUGGUCCCAAAAACUAUACACCCAUAUAAAACAAAUCAAACAGAAAAGUAAAGCUACCUGUGACGUGAAGGCGAGAUAACCGCCCUGAAAUUCAUGAGGCACAGUAGGGUCAUUGGCGCUGGCAAAGUGAAAAUCAUAGGUAAAAAGAUAAGUGUUCUAUAGUACUGCUAAUUAUGCAUCUUGAUUAUAUAUGCAUUACAAGCUUCUUCUCUUGUAAAGUGAACUGCUUGAAACAUGUUAUCUAAGGAAAUGAGUAAAGAGUCAAACCGAUGUUGUAGGAGCAAAUGGAGAAUAUUGACCAAUAUUCAGUAAGAUUUUUCCAAUAAGAAAUUAACAUAGCAAGAUCACUUAUCACCUGAAAUCUCUAACAUGCAGCUCAUAGAUGCUAACAUCAGAAAAGGAAAGAAGAUUUGGCUUCUCGUCUUGUAGAUUAUCCCAGCCUUCAGGCUUUACAUCAUCAGAAUCAAGAUUAACUAACAAUGUCCGCUUGCCAUCAGCAGAGAGACUGUCCAUGCAAAAGCAA